UGCCAGCAGCCGCGGUAAUACGGGGGGUGCAAGCGUUAUUCGGAAUUAUUGGGCGUAAAGCGCGUGUAGGCGGCUUGGCAAGUCGGGUGUGAAAUCCCGGGGCUCAACCCCGGAACUGCACUCGAAACUGCCUCGCUAGAGUCCCGGAGAGGAAGGCGGAAUUCCCGGUGUAGAGGUGAAAUUCGUAGAUAUCGGGAGGAACACCAGCGGCGAAGGCGGCCUUCUGGACGGUGACUGACGCUGAGACGCGAAAGCGUGGGGAGCAAACAGGAUUAGAUA
RNAcentral lists this ribosomal RNA (279 nucleotides) under uncultured bacterium. RNAcentral describes it as "partial 16S ribosomal RNA". It matches the Rfam family "Bacterial small subunit ribosomal RNA", at positions 506 to 784 of the family's 1533-position model. The record is from RNAcentral.